Molecule: ribosomal RNA, 452 nt
Filed under: uncultured bacterium
Lineage: Bacteria
Description: bacterial SSU rRNA
Rfam family: Bacterial small subunit ribosomal RNA
Source: RNAcentral
AGCGAACGCUGGCGGCAGGCUUAACACAUGCAAGUCGAGCGGGCGUAGCAAUACGUCAGCGGCAGACGGGUGAGUAACGCGUGGGAACAUACCUUUUGGUUCGGAACAACACAGGGAAACUUGUGCUAAUACCGGAUAAGCCCUUACGGGGAAAGAUUUAUCGCCGAAAGAUUGGCCCGCGUCUGAUUAGCUAGUUGGUGAGGUAACGGCUCACCAAGGCGACGAUCAGUAGCNGGUCUGAGAGGAUGAUCAGCCACAUUGGGACUGAGACACGGCCCAAACUCCUACGGGAGGCAGCAGUGGGGAAUAUUGGACAAUGGGCGCAAGCCUGAUCCAGCCAUGCCGCGUGAGUGAUGAAGGCCCUAGGGUUGUAAAGCUCUUUUGUGCGGGAAGAUAAUGACGGUACCGCAAGAAUAAGCCCCGGCUAACUUCGUGCCAGCAGUCGCCGUAAC